RNAcentral lists this ribosomal RNA (301 nucleotides) under uncultured bacterium. RNAcentral describes it as "partial 16S ribosomal RNA". It matches the Rfam family "Bacterial small subunit ribosomal RNA", at positions 509 to 809 of the family's 1533-position model. The record is from RNAcentral.
CAGCAGCCGCGGGAAUACGUAGGUGGCAAGCGUUGUCCGGAAUUAUUGGGCGUAAAGGGCUCGCAGGCGGUUUCUUAAGUCUGAUGUGAAAGCCCCCGGCUCAACCGGGGAGGGUCAUUGGAAACUGGGAAACUUGAGUGCAGAAGAGGAGAGUGGAAUUCCACGUGUAGCGGUGAAAUGCGUAGAGAUGUGGAGGAACACCAGUGGCGAAGGCGACUCUCUGGUCUGUAACUGACGCUGAGGAGCGAAAGCGUGGGGAGCAAACAGGAUUAGAUACCCCUGUAGUCCCUGUCUUUAUACA